UUUUAGCCCCGAUUGAAGUGAAAAUCCUUUUUAUUUUUCUUUAAAAAUAAAAAGAUUGCAACAAAAAGCGGGAAAUAGC
RNAcentral lists this small RNA (79 nucleotides) under Flavobacterium xueshanense. Its description in RNAcentral is "Flavo-1 RNA". It matches the Rfam family "Flavo-1 RNA". The record is from RNAcentral. Lineage: Bacteria; Pseudomonadati; Bacteroidota; Flavobacteriia; Flavobacteriales; Flavobacteriaceae.